Molecule: ribosomal RNA, 497 nt
Filed under: uncultured bacterium
Lineage: Bacteria
Description: partial 16S ribosomal RNA
Rfam family: Bacterial small subunit ribosomal RNA
Source: RNAcentral
GAUGAACGCUGGCGGCGUGCCUAAUACAUGCAAGUCGAGCGAACAGACGAGGAGCUUGCUCCUCUGACGUUAGCGGCGGACGGGUGAGUAACACGUGGAUAACCUACCUAUAAGACUGGGAUAACUUCGGGAAACCGGAGCUAAUACCGGAUAAUAUAUUGCACCGCAUGGUUCAAUAGUGAAAGACGGUUUUGCUGUCACUUAUAGAUGGAUCCGCGCCGCAUUAGCUAGUUGGUAAGGUAACGGCUUACCAAGGCAACGAUGCGUAGCCGACCUGAGAGGGUGAUCGGCCACACGGGAACUGAGGCACGGUCCAGACUCCUACGGGAGGCAGCAGUAGGGAAUCUUACGCAAUGGGCGAAAGCCUGACGGAGCAACGCCGCGUGAGUGAUGAAGGUCUUCGGAUCGUAAAACUCUGUUAUUAGGGAAGAACAAAUGUGUAAGUAACUAUGCACGUCUUGACGGUACCUAAUCAGAAAGCCACGGCUAACUACGUG